AUUGAACGCUGGCGGUAUGCUUAACACAUGCAAGUCGAACGGAAACGAUACUAGCUUGCUAGUAGGCGUCGAGUGGCGGACGGGUGAGUAACGCGUAGGAAUCUGCCUGAUAGUGGGGGAUAGCCCAGAGAAAUCUGGAUUAAUACCGCAUAAUCUCUAUGGAGAAAAGGAGCCCUCUUCUUGAAAGGUUUCGCUAUCAGAUGAGCCUGCGUAAGAUUAGCUUGUUGGUGAGGUAAAAGCUCACCAAGGCGACGAUCUUUAGCUGGUCUGAGAGGAUGAUCAGCCACACUGGGACUGAAACACGGCCCAGACACCUACGGGAGGCAGCAGUGGGGAAUAUUGGACAAUGGGCGCAAGCCUGAUCCAGCAAUACCGCGUGUAUGAAGAAGGCCUGAGGGUUGUAAAGUACUUUCAAUUGUGAAGAAAAGCUAAUGGUUAAUACCCAUUAGCCUUGACGUUAACUUUAGAAGAAGCACCGGCUAACUCCGUGCCAGCAGCCGCGGUAAUACGGAGGGUGCAAGCGUUAAUCGGAAUUACUGGGCGUAAAGCGUGCGUAGGUGGUUUGUUAAGUUAGAUGUGAAAGCCCUGGGCUCAACCUAGGAACUGCAUUUAAAACUGGCGAACUAGAGUAUAGGAGAGGAAAGUGGAAUUUCAGGUGUAGCGGUGAAAUGCGUAGAUAUCUGAAGGAACAUCAAUGGCGAAGGCAGCUUUCUGGACUAAUACUGACACUGAGGUACGAAAGCGUGGGUAGCAAACAGGAUUAGAUACCCUGGUAGUCCACGCCGUAAACGAUGACAACUAGCCGUUGGGGGGGUUUACCCCUUAGUGGCGAAGCUAACGCGUUAAGUUGUCCGCCUGGGGAGUACGGCCGCAAGGCUAAAACUCAAAGGAAUUGACGG
Molecule: ribosomal RNA, 899 nt
Filed under: uncultured Gammaproteobacteria bacterium
Lineage: Bacteria; Pseudomonadati; Pseudomonadota; Gammaproteobacteria
Description: bacterial SSU rRNA
Rfam family: Bacterial small subunit ribosomal RNA
Source: RNAcentral